This 2617-nucleotide ribosomal RNA is filed under the name Drosophila persimilis. Its description in RNAcentral is "eukaryotic LSU rRNA". The stretch from base 1364 to 2617 matches the Rfam family "Eukaryotic large subunit ribosomal RNA", at positions 1889 to 3185 of the family's 3401-position model. Lineage: Eukaryota; Metazoa; Arthropoda; Insecta; Diptera; Drosophilidae. The record is from RNAcentral.
ACCCUUAACUCGGAUAAAUGUUUUACAGUUGGAAUAAAGGGGCAACCGAAACAGAAGUGUACUGUGGUCAUCCCAGAGACCUUCCGUAUCGGUUCGCGCUCGUGUCCUGCAUUGAAGCGCACAGACGAGUGGAAGUAUUUAGGCAUAACAUUCACUGCACAAGGGAGGACCAGGUACAGUCCAGCCGACGACCUAGGUCCGAAGCUGUUGAGGCUGACAAGGUCCCCCCUAAAACCACAACAGAAAUUGUUCGCACUCAGAACAGUUCUUAUCCCACAACUUUACCAUAAGCUGACCCUAGGUAGUGUGAUGAUAGGUGUUCUGAGAAAGUGUGACAUACUGGUACGUUCGACCGUAAGGAAGUGGUUAGGGCUUCCUCUGGACGUGUCAACUGCAUUCUUCCAUGCUCCUCAUACUUAUGGGGGCCUCGGAAUCCCUUCAGUUCGUUGGGUAGCGCCAAUGCUACGUAUGAAAAGAUUGAGCAAUAUUAAGUGGGCCCACCUCGCGCAAUCCGAGGCGGCCAGCUCAUUUCUUACCGACGAAUUGAAUAAGGCCCGGGGUAGAACUCUGGCUGGACUGAAUGAGUUGACAUCGCGUACAGAGAUCGAAACGUACUGGGCGAACAGGUUGUAUAUGUCUGUUGAUGGUCGCGGCUUACGUGAAGCGGGACUUUUUCGUCCCCAACACGGCUGGGUGUGUCAGCCCACGCGUUUGCUAACAGGUCAAGAUUACCGAAACAGUAUCAAGCUGCGAAUAAAUGCCCUACCAUCGAGGUCUCGUACCACGAGGGGCAGAAAUGAAUUGGAACGGCAAUGUCGUGCAGGUUGUGAUGCUCCCGAAACAACAAACCACAUCCUGCAGAAUUGUUACCGUACGCAUGGGAGGCGGGUAGCAAGACAUAACUGUGUAGUCAAUAACCUUAAGAGGAUUCUUGAGGAGAAGGGCCACACAGUACACGUCGAACCAAGUUUGCAGCUGGAAACCUCGGUAAGUAAACCAGACCUGGUGUGUAUCCGUGACAAUCACGCUUGCGUGAUUGAUGCGCAGAUUAUAACGGAUGGACUGUUUCUCGACGAUGUGCACCAUCGCAAAGUUGAGAAAUAUAAAAGACCGGAAGUUAUAUCUGCACUGCGGAGAGAAUUCGGAGUGUCGGGCAACGUCGAAGUCCUAUCCGCGACGUUAAACUGGCGUGGGAUCUGGAGCAAUCAAUCCGUUAGAAGAUUGAUAGCAAAGGGUCUCAUCUCAUCCGGUGACAGCAAUGUCAUUAGCGCCAGAGUGGUAACAGGCGGACUAUAUUGCUUCAGACAGUUCAUGUAUCUCGCAGGUUACACUCGAGAUUGGACUUAGCCUAUACACUAUGUUGGAGAGAAGACGCUUGCUACCUAGGCAAAAUGUGAAAUUAGGUAUAAACAUCGUGGUUGUAAAACUUGAGGUGGGUUUUUAGUACGUAUGCGUGAUUACUUCGUAAUCAUGAAUCGUGCAUGCUAGUGGGGUUUGGCCUCCACUAGUAUCUUUGAAGAUUUUCCUUCCUCAGCGAUCAAAAAAAAAAAAAAAAAAAAAAUAGCCAAAUGCCUCGUCAUCUAAUUAGUGACGCGCAUGAAUGGAUUAACGAGAUUCCUACUGUCCCUAUCUACUAUCUAGCGAAACCACAGCCAAGGGAACGGGCUUGGAAUAAUUAGCGGGGAAAGAAGACCCUUUUGAGCUUGACUCUAAUCUGGCAGUGUAAGGAGACAUAAGAGGUGUAGCAUAAGUGGGAGAUAUUAGAUUUCGGUUUGGUAUCGACAAUGAAAUACCACUACUCUUAUUGUUUCCUUACUUACUUGAUUAAAUGGAACGUGUAUCAUUUCCUAGCCAUUAUACGGAUAUAUUUAUUAUAUCUUAUGGUAUUGGGUUUUGAUGCAAGCUUCUUGAUCAAAGUAUCACGAGUUUGUUAUAUAAUCGCAAACAAAUUCUUUAAUGAGAAAAUGCAUUUAUGUAUUUUCAAUUUGAAAAUUUGGUAUAACUCCAAUUACUCAGGUAUGAUCCAAUUCAAGGACAUUGCCAGGUAGGGAGUUUGACUGGGGCGGUACAUCUCUCAAAUAAUAACGGAGGUGUCCCAAGGCCAGCUCAGUGCGGACAGAAACCACACAUAGAGCAAAAGGGCAAAUGCUGACUUGAUCUCGGUGUUCAGUACACACAGGGACAGCAAAAGCUCGGCCUAUCGAUCCUUUUGGUUUAAAGAGUUUUUAACAAGAGGUGUCAGAAAAGUUACCAUAGGGAUAACUGGCUUGUGGCGGCCAAGCGUUCAUAGCGACGUCGCUUUUUGAUCCUUCGAUGUCGGCUCUUCCUAUCAUUGUGAAGCAAAAUUCACCAAGCGUUGGAUUGUUCACCCAUGCAAGGGAACGUGAGCUGGGUUUAGACCGUCGUGAGACAGGUUAGUUUUACCCUACUAAUGACAAAACGUUGUUGCGACAGCAUUCCUGCGUAGUACGAGAGGAACCGCAGGUACGGACCAAUGGCACAAUACUUGUUCGAGCGAACAGUGGUAUGACGCUACGUCCGUUGGAUUAUGCCUGAACGCCUCUAAGGUCGUAUCCGUGCUGGACUGCAAUGAUAAAUAAGGGGCAAUUUGCAUUGU